AGGGGUAUCGCCAAGCGGUAAGGCACUGGACUCUGACUCCUGUAUCGCAGGUUCAAAUCCUGCUACCCCUGCCA
This 74-nucleotide transfer RNA is filed under the name Clostridium sp. RNAcentral describes it as "tRNA-Gln". It matches the Rfam family "tRNA". Rfam says of the family: Transfer RNA (tRNA) molecules are approximately 80 nucleotides in length. Their secondary structure includes four short double-helical elements and three loops (D, anti-codon, and T loops). The record is from RNAcentral. RNAcentral also lists the same sequence under 1 other name. Lineage: Bacteria; Bacillati; Bacillota; Clostridia; Eubacteriales; Clostridiaceae.